CCCAUUGAGUUAUGGGUCCCAAUGGGUUGACCUGGUCAACAUUGCCAUGGGUCGCAGUGGGUUGAGCUGGCAGACAUCCCCAUGGAGCAGUGGGGUGUUCUCUAUGGGUUGACCAAGCCAACAUCUCUAUGGGAUUUCCCCACGGAGUCUGGGUUCACGUUGGGGCUCACGUUGGGGUUCACGUUGGCGUUGUUGGGGUUCAUUUUGGGGUUCACGUUGGCGUUGUUGGGGUUCACGUUGGGGUUCGUGUUGGGGUUCAUGUUGGCGUUCACAUUGGUGGUGUUGGUGUUCACGUUGGGGUUCACGUUGGGGUUCACGUUGGGGUUCAUGUUGGGGUUCACAUGGGCGUUGUUGGGGUUCAUGUUGGGCUUCAUUUUGGGGUUCACGUUGGCGUUGAGGUUCACAUUGGGGUUCACGUUGGGCUUCCUCUUGGGGUUCACUUUGGGGUUCACAU
This 454-nucleotide long non-coding RNA is filed under the name Numida meleagris (helmeted guineafowl). RNAcentral's name for it is "lncRNA (ENSNMEG00000003043.1)". Lineage: Eukaryota; Metazoa; Chordata; Aves; Galliformes; Numididae. The record is from RNAcentral.